CAUGAAUCAACUCUAUUGGAGGCUAAGCGUUUUGAGCUUAGUAGGGUGGUGGUGGAGAUGCAUAAUUGUAAACUGGUGGUGGAGGUGACUUCACAGGUGGGGGAGGAGAGUGGUAGUAGUAUGGAGGUGGUGGGGAUGGUGAUGGAGGUGGUGGGGAUUUGUAGUAGUACGGUGGUGGAGGCGAGUAGACUGGUGGGGGAGGAGAGUGGUAAUAGUACGGAGGUUGAGGAGAUGGUGACGGAGGUGGUGGGGACUUGUAAUAGUAUGGUGGUGGAGGUGAGUGGACAGGUGGGGGAGGAGAGUGGUAAUAAUAUGGCGGUGGAGGAGAUGGCGACGGAGGUGGUGGGGAUUUGUAGUAGUAGGGCGGGGGAGGAGAGUGGACUGGUGGUGGUGGGGAUUUGUAGUAGUAUGGAGGUGGAGGUGGAGGUGAGUAGACUGGUGGUGGUGGGGAUUUGUAGUAGUAUGGAGGUGGAGGUGAGUGGACUGGUGGUGGCGGGGAUUUGUAGUAGUAGGGUGGAGGAGGAGAGUGGACUGGAGGUGGCGGGGAUUUGUAGUAGUAUGGUGGUGGAGGCGAGUAGACUGGAGGGGGUGGUGACUUGUAGUAGUAAGGUGGCGGAGGUGAGUAAACGGGAGGAGGGGGUGACUUGUAGUAGUAAGGUGGUGGAGGUGAGUAGACUGGUGGUGGAGGUGAUUUGUAAUAGUAUGGGGCAGGUAUGUGGACUGGCGGUGGUGGUGACUUGUAAUAGUAGGGAGGUGGAGGGGAUGGUGAAGGUGGUGGUGGAGACUUGUAGUAGUAUGGCGGUGGGGGUGAAUAGACUGGUGGUGGAGGUGAUUUAUAAUAGUAUGGAGGUGGAGGAGAUGGCGAUGGAGGUGGCGGAGAUUUAUAGUAGUAAGGUGGUGGAGGAGAGUGGACUGGUGGUGGAGGUGAUUUGUAAUAGUAUGGCGGUGGAGGAGAGUAGACUGGUGGUGGAGGUGAUUUAUAGUAGUAUGGCGGUGGUGGUGAGUGGACAGGUGGUGGAGGUGACUUGUAGUAAUACGGUGGAGGAGAAGAAUAGACCGGUGGUGGUGGAGAUUUAUAAUAGUAAGGUGGUGUCGGAUACUUUAUUGGAGGUGGAGGGGAUUUGUAAUAAUAGGGUGGUGGUGGUGAGGGUGAAGGAGGUGGUGGAGAUUUAUAGUAAUAUGGUGGUGGAGGUGAGUGGACUGGAGGUGGUGGAGAUUUGUAGUAGUAUGGUGGAGGUGAGUAGACAGGUGGGGGAGGAGACUUGUAAUAAUAUGGUGGUGGAGGUGAGUAGACCGGUGGUGGUGGGGAUUUAUAGUAGUAUGGUGGUGGUGAAUAAACCGGUGGUGGAGGAGACUUGUAGUAGUACGGUGGGGGAUGUGAAUAGACUGGUGGAGGUGGAGACUUAUAAUAGUAUGGGGGAGGAGAGUAAGUUGGUGGCGGUGGAGACUUAUAGUAAUAUGGUGAUGGAGAUGGUGGUGGCGGAGACUUAUAGUAAUAAGGCGACGGUGGGUAUUUUACAGGAGGUGGGGGAGAUUUAUAAUAAUAAGGUGGUGGGUAUUUCACAGGAGGUGGUGGAGACUUGUAAUAAUAUGGUGGAGGUGGAGGAGACUUAUAAAUGUAAGUUGGUGGUGGUGGAGGCGGUGACUUGUAGUAAUAAGGAGCGGGGGUAGGCUCAGGCUUGGGCUUCUCACAUUCCUCAUAAGGAGUCUUAGGAGCAUAAGCAAAUGGCUUGGCGUAGAGCACAACUUCAUAAUCAGUCUUCGACUUGACUUUAAGUUUGGCUCCCUUUUUACCCCAGUGCAAGUCAGUGGGAAU
This 1816-nucleotide long non-coding RNA is filed under the name Citrus sinensis (sweet orange). Its description in RNAcentral is "long non-coding RNA (CSIN_LNC002287)". The record is from RNAcentral. Lineage: Eukaryota; Viridiplantae; Streptophyta; Magnoliopsida; Sapindales; Rutaceae.